UUCCAGACUCCUACGGGAGGCAGCAGUGAGGAAUAUUGGUCAAUGGGCGGAAGCCUGAACCAGCCAAGUCGCGUGAGGGAAGAAGGCCCUGCGGGUCGCAGACCUCUUUGGACGGGGAGCAAGGCCGCCGACGUGUCGGCGGAAGGAGAGUACCCGUAGAAUAAGCAUCGGCUAACUCCGUGCCAGCAGCCGCGGUAAUACGGAGGAUGCGAGCGUUAUCCGGAUUUAUUGGGUGUAAAGGGUGCGUAGGCGGCUUGGCAAGUCAGUAGUGAAAUCCAUGGGCUUAACCCAUGAACUGCUAUUGAAACUGUCGAGCUUGAGUGAAGUAGAGGUAGGCGGAAUUCCCGGUGUAGCGGUGAAAUGCGUAGAGAUCGGGAGGAACACCAGUGGCGAAGGCGGCCUACUGGGCUUUAACUGACGCUGAGGCACGAAAGCGUGGGUAGCAAACAGGAUUAGAUACCCCCGUA
This 467-nucleotide ribosomal RNA is filed under the name uncultured bacterium. Its description in RNAcentral is "bacterial SSU rRNA". It matches the Rfam family "Bacterial small subunit ribosomal RNA", at positions 329 to 792 of the family's 1533-position model. The record is from RNAcentral.